Long non-coding RNA from Eriocheir sinensis (Chinese mitten crab), 4108 nucleotides. RefSeq lists it as uncharacterized. Lineage: Eukaryota; Metazoa; Arthropoda; Malacostraca; Decapoda; Varunidae. The transcript has 2 exons. The record is from RefSeq and is a predicted model, not a curated record.
CUAAGAGGAGUGAAGAAGUGGAUUAAGUGGAUAGUUAGGGUAGUCGAUAAAUGGAACUAAGGAGAGUGAAGAAGUGGAUAAAGUGGAUAGUUAGGGUAGUCGAUAAAUGGAUUAAGGAGAGUGAAGAAGUGGAUAAAGUGGAUAGUUAGGGUAGUCGAUAAAUGGAUUAAGGAGAGUGAAGAAGUGGAUAAAGUGGAUUGUUAGGGUAGUCGAUAAAUGGAUUAAGGAGAGUGAAGAAAUGGAUAAAGUGAACAGUUAGGGUAGUCAAUAAAUGGAUCUAAGGAGAGUGAAGAAGUGGAUAAAGUGGAUAGCCUGGGUAGUGGAUAAGUGGGUCUGAGUCAAGAAGUGGUAUACAGUGGAUAGUUUGAGUAGAGGAUAAGUUAGUUGUAGUUCUACCUCCCUCUUCUUAUAAAACCACUUUCUUGGAUUUGCUAGUUUGGAAGUGGAUAGAGUGGAUAGUGUGGGUAGUAGAUAAGUGAAUAGAAGGGAUAGUUUGAGUUGUAGAUAAGUGGGUUCAAGUUCUUUACUAUCUCCCUCUUAUAAAAAUAUAGUCCUUUAUUUGCUAGUUUCAAAGUGGCGGAUAAGUGAGUUUCAGUUCUCUCUCUCCCUCAUGUAAAAAGAAAAUAGGUUUGGAUCUUUUAGUUUGGAAGUGGGUAAAGUAUUUGGUAUGGAUAUUAUAUAAGUGAGUUGUAGUUCUUUUCUCUCCCUCUCCCAGUAAAAAAUAGUCUUGAUACGAGGAUUUAAAGUCUAGUUCUCAUAAGUAGUUAGUGGACCGUAGAUAAAGUGGAGAGAAAGGAGAUUUAUUUUAAGUUUUCCGGCUUCUCAUAAUAAUAUAUCAUCAUAUGUUGACUAUUCUCCUAAAGCUUCUGCAGCCUCUAUUAAUCAUUUUCCUCUUAACAAAAUUGGAGAUGGAUGGAUGGGUGAUGAAUAUGAGAUGCGGGAGUAAACAACCUCUCCAGCCGCCCCCGAUAAAGGCCUGGAAAGUGAAGCGGAGAGGAAGCGAAGAGAAAAUGUGAUAAAAGCGAGGGUAAAACAUCGACUCGUAAGCCCCGGUGAUGAGUGGGAAAGGGCGCGACUCAUUAGGUGUCCGGGAAUCAUUUUGACGCGGAGGCUGAGCGGUAAACAGAGGAAAGGCGAGAGGUGAGUGUCCGUACGGCUUUCACUUGCCUUUCCUGGAACCCCUUAAGGUGGAUAGACGAGGGAUUUUACGAGAAUACGCCGUUGUUACCUCGACUUGCUUGCUUACUGUCCUGCGUUUAAAAAGGGACUGAAAAUACGAAGAAAAGGCACAGAAAGAGAUGGAGGAUACAGAUAUACGAAAAAAGGAACAAAAAGAGAGAAAAGUUACAUAUAAAAGAAACUGAUUGAAUGUCGGGCUUACUAUGACAUGAAGAAAAGAGCAAAAAGGAACAGAUGAUACAAGAAAAUACAACUCUGAUAUAAUGUCGAUUUACUUAAACUCACUACGAAAUAAAGAAGAUAAAUACUAAAAAGAGACAUGAUACAAAUAAAGAAUAAACAUAAUUACUUUAACUUGAUUGAAAUGAAGACAAAGGCGAAAAAAAAAAAAAGAAACUGGAUACAAGAAAAAGACACACUGAUAUAAUCUCGACUUACAUUUAACUUAAUAUAAAUAAAAUAAAGAAAAGGCAAAAGAGAAACAGAUAAUACAAGAAAAUUAAACAGUGAUAUGAUGUUGACUUACUUCUUACUCACUGACAAAAAAAAAAAAAAAAAAUCGGUGUAAACUCGACUUAUUUUUUUACUCACUGACAUAAGAAAAAGAAAUCGGUGUAAACUCGACAUUUCUUACUCACUGACAAAAAAAAAAAAUCGGUGUAAACGACUUAUUUUUUACUCACUGACAUAAGAAGAAAAAAUCGGUGUAAACUCGACUUAUUUUUUUACUCACUGACAUAAGAAAAUGGGUGAAAAAAAGGGAAGACAAGACGAAUACUAAGGAAGCGGGAGUUGUUAUCGACUUUUCUCAUUCCCCUAGAGAGAAAAAGGUGAAUGGAACACGUACAGGAGGAACCAUUUAUCAUCGCCCUGUGAACAGAGAGAGAGAGAGAGAGAGAGAGAGAGAGAGAGAGAGAGAGAGAGAGAGAGAGAGAGAGAGAGAGAGAGAGAGAGAGAGAGAGAGAGAGAGAGAGAGAGAGAGAGAGAGAGAGAGAGAGAGAGAAAACUACUCUCAUUAUUGACACCCCACCACUCGCUCAUACGAAGGUGGAAAUAAGGAAGGAAGGAGGAAGAGGAAUUAGACAACGAAAAUAAUUGAGGCCUGGGCUAAUCCACCGUCCUUCACCAUCCAUCACCAUCACCGUAAUAAGCGUCCGGGUGAAAAGAAAACUCCCUUUCAUUUAUCUUAUUACUCCUGUUGCUCGCAUUUCACUUAGCGCGUCUGGCUGAGGUUCACGGAUGGGGGCUGAGGGUCAUAUUUGUAAGUGUAUCCCAUUACGACUAUUUUCCAAGGCCACAGAAGAUUAACCGGGUUUUCAUAGGUGAUUUCUCCUUUCAUGGUGCAGAAUUCGUGUAUAACCAUCACUAGGAUCACUAAACACUCCACGAUAACCCCACCAGCAACUUCUACGUCUAUUUUCCAAGGCCACAGAGAAUAUUAACCAGUUUUUUAUCGGUGAUUUAUCAGUUCGUUGUGUAGAAGUCGUGUACAACCAUCACUAGCAUCACAAAACAGCCCAUGAAAACCCCACCAGCAAUGUCUACUGGAGGUUUUCCAUUCAAACCGUCAAACUGAAGUGUCGAUACGUUAAAGAAGUCGGACUCUGAAGCACAUACAUUCAACAAGGCUUUCGUAGGACUUGUGGGCAUUUCCGUGGGUAGCUUUAUGACCCCGGUAGUAGUUUGACCCUUCUUCUGUAUCGUGAACGUGAAGAAAGACUCAUAACAGCCCGAGUAAUCUUCUCUCCGGCCUUCGGAAAUGGUUGAUGUGAGGGAGGAAGCGUCUGAGAUUAGCGACCUCUGUGAAGCUCUUAAACGUGCAGGAGAUACGAGAGAUGGAGCUGCUAAGAGGAGUUGGGUUUCAAGGUCACAGGAGAGAGAGAGAGAGAGAGAGAGAGAGAGAGAGAGAGAGAGAGAGAGAGAGAGAGAGAGAGAGAGAGAGAGAGAGAGGAUUUUUUCUUUUUUUUACAUCAUAGGAAGCAGCUCAACGACGUAAAAAUAAAACAGAAAAACAGACAGACGAGAGAGAGAGAGAGAGAGAGAGAGAGAGAGAGAGAGAGAGAGAGAGAGAGAGAGAGAGAGAGAGAGAGAGAGAGAGAGAGAAAGAGACUGGAUGAUUUCUUAGUGGAACGGAUUAUUAUUAUUAUUAUUUUUUACAUUAAAGGAAGCAACUCAAGGCCAAAAACUAAAAAAAAAAAAAAAAAAUAAGCCAACUAAGCCUCCUCCUAUAUAGAAACCCCAUACAUUUUUUUCCCCUCUUUUUUUCAUUCUCACGUAAGAGGUAAAUUGGAAUGCACCAGGAGGAAGACGGAUGACUCUUUGAAAUGGAAAGGAUGUGCGGAGCGAGGAAGGGUCGAGGUGGGAGAAGGAAAUGAGAGGUGGGAGAGGAAGGAAGAUGAAGUGUAGGGUGACGGGUGUGUGAAGGGGAAGAGGAAGAGAAAGAUGAAGAGAUGAGAGGAAUGAGGAGAGACAAACAAAAGUAGAGGAGGUAAUGAAAGCUCUGAGGAAGAAGUGAUACAGGAAAAUAGGAGAGGUGGGUGGAGGGAGAGCAAGAGAGGAGGAGGAGGAAGAGAAGAGAAGAAUAAGAGGAUAAAGGAGAUGAGUGACAGGAGACAAACAAAGACAGAGGAGAAAAGACGGGAGGAACACGAGGAGAGGAAGCAGGAAGGAAAAGAAGAAAAAAAAGGAGACAGGAAGAGAUGCAAGGAGGAAGAAAAAGUUAAAAAGAGGAAGAGAUGCAAGUGACGUGAGGGGAAGGGAGAAAGGAGGAAAGAAAAAAAGGAGGAGAAAGGAAGGGAAAAAAAAGAAAGAAAGGAGAGGAUGCAAUGUGACAGGAGGAAGAAAAAGUUAAAAAGAGGAAGAGAGAUGCAAGUGACGUGAGGGGAAGGGAAGAAAGGAGGAAAGAAAAAAAGGAGGAGAAAGGAAGGGA